This is a transfer RNA of Camelus ferus (Wild Bactrian camel), 72 nucleotides long. It matches the Rfam family "tRNA". Rfam says of the family: Transfer RNA (tRNA) molecules are approximately 80 nucleotides in length. Their secondary structure includes four short double-helical elements and three loops (D, anti-codon, and T loops). NCBI's taxonomy places the organism in Eukaryota, Metazoa, Chordata, Mammalia, Artiodactyla, Camelidae. The record is from Rfam.
GAGGGUAUGGCUCAGUGGCAGAGUGCCUGCUUAGCAUGCAUGAGGUCUCGGGUUCAAUCCCCGGUACCUCCA